UCAAACCGAGCAAGAACCGGAAGGGGCGGGGCUCUCCCCGUGAGCCUUUGCGACGUCCGCUGCUUAUCUGCAUACGGCGGGUCGUAGCCCUACCGUUCCCUCUUUCUCCAGACGAGCAAAUAAAAUGAAAAGCAACAGAAAAGAAUUAAAUGAGUAAGACAAUCUUCAGAGGAAAGAGGUUCUCGGUUCGACGGUCAACUUUGCCACUCACCGUAGGGCUAAUGAGAAUGGGAUUCAUUACCUAGGAAGUAAGCGUUAGUAGAGGUUUAUGCCUUAAACUUAUGAGUAAGGAAAAUAACGAUUCGGGGUGACGCCCGAAUCCUCACUGCUAAUGUGAGACGAAUUUUUGAGCGGGUAAAGGUUGCCCCUACGGUGACCCGCCUACUUUGCGGGAUGCCUGGGUGUUGCGAUCUGCCCGUACCCCUUGCAUUUAAAAGUCUCCAGCACUGAUCCCGGUGGGAGGUUCAGUAUGUCGAACCAGUGAAUGAAAAAUACAACAACAGCAGGAAACGGAAUUCCUUGGCGAUCCAGUGGUGAGGACUGCGCGGUUCUGCUGCAGCGAGCCCGGGGUUAGAUCCCUGAUCGCGGAAGUAAAACCCCCGCAUGCAGCGCGGUGUGGCCGAAACACCACAAACAGAAACAUAAAACAAAGACUAAACGUGCAACGCGUUUUAGACGAGCGCCGAACAAAGAUUAAGUGCCCUAUGAAUCACUGCUGUAAGUACAACGGGUGAGUGGAGUUUUGUGUUCUCGACAGAACAUCACACCGCAGAUGAAAACCUGGCAUCAGAAAGAAGGUCCGUGGAGAGACGAGCUGGUGAAGAUUGGGCACUGGAGGAGGGAAAUCCAGGUCCCCGCCUUCGCAGCCGUGAUUGGCUGCUGGCUGGCCCUCCUUUUCUCAGUCGUGAAACAGGACCAUUAACUCCUCCCUCCGCGAGGUGCCGGGAAAGAACGCGGAAACCAGGAACCAACCCUUGGCCGGCUGCACAGCGAAGGGCAGGCAGGUGCGCAGGAUUAGGAAAGGGCCAGAGGAGCGCGGGAGUUAAGGCCCUUUCGCACCUCCACGCGAAGAAAGCGAAGUAUGGGGACAGGCACCAGGAGAUCUAAUGUGUGUCAAGCGCUCAGCAGAGUCCUCAGCAGACGGUAGGUGUAGAGAAGAGCCAUCAGGGCCUGAGAGGCCCAGGCUGAGUCCUUCCCCUGCCCACUGAGGAGUCCCAGCCCUGCUCCAGGAUGUGUGAGGGCCAGAGACAGAAUGGAAGGUGAGAGAUGAAAGGGGAGAGUGGCUCUCUAGCCCCGAGGCCUCCUGUGAACUCCCCCGUCUUCUCCUCUUCCCCACUCCACUCCAGCCACACUGGCCCUCACUGUGUCCCAGGGCCUCCGCACUUGCUGGUCACUCCCGCUGGAGUACCCCUCUAGCCCUGCCUCCCUCUCCAGUCUCAUCCUCACUGUCCCCUCAGCCACCUGCCUUCCUUGAUCUGUUUCUGGAAGUUUCUUCCACAAGCUUGUUCUAGCCACAAGGCCUUCACGCUUGCUGUUCCGCCUUGAACACCUACCCCAGUGGGGCCAGCUCCUUCCCUUCACGUCGCAGCACAAAGGUCACCUCCUCAGAGGGAGUUCCUGCUGCCCAACUCUGAGAACAGCCCUCAUUCCCACACUGUCCUGCCUUUUUUUGUUUUUUUAAUUUUAUUUUUAUUUUUGGUUGCGAUGGGUCUUUGUUGCUGCACAGGGACUUUCUCUAGUUGCGGUGAGCGGGGGCUAUUC
Molecule: long non-coding RNA, 1761 nt
Organism: Aethalodelphis obliquidens (Pacific white-sided dolphin)
Lineage: Eukaryota; Metazoa; Chordata; Mammalia; Artiodactyla; Delphinidae
Exons: 3
Source: RefSeq, a predicted model, not a curated record